GAGUGAACGCUGGCGGUAGGCCUACCCCAUGCAAGUCGAACGGCAGCACAGUAAGAGCUUGCUCUUACGGGUGGCGAGUGGCGGACGGGUGAGGAAUACAUCGGAAUCUACUUUUUCGUGGGGGAUAACGUAGGGAAACUUACGCUAAUACCGCAUACGACCUACGGGUGAAAGCAGGGGAUCUUCGGACCUUGCGCGAUUGAAUGAGCCGAUGUCGGAUUAGCUAGUUGGCGGGGUAAAGGCCCACCAAGGCGACGAUCCGUAGCUGGUCUGAGAGGAUGAUCAGCCACACUGGAACUGAGACACGGUCCAGACUCCUACGGGAGGCAGCAGUGGGGAAUAUUGGACAAUGGGCGCAAGCCUGAUCCAGCCAUACCGCGUGGGUGAAGAAGGCCUUCGGGUUGUAAAGCCCUUUUGUUGGGAAAGAAAAGCAGCAGGUUAAUACCCCGCUGUUCUGACGGUACCCAAAGAAUAAGCACCGGCUAACUUCGUG
Molecule: ribosomal RNA, 493 nt
Filed under: uncultured bacterium
Lineage: Bacteria
Description: partial 16S ribosomal RNA
Rfam family: Bacterial small subunit ribosomal RNA
Source: RNAcentral